CCUACGGGGGGCUGCAGUGGGGAAUAUUGGGCAAUGGGCGCAAGCCUGACCCAGCAACGCCGCGUGAAGGAAGAAGGCUUUCGGGUUGUAAACUUCUUUUGUCAGGGACGAAGCAAGUGACGGUACCUGACGAAUAAGCCACGGCUAACUACGUGCGAGCAGCCGCGGUAAUACGUAGGUGGCAAGCGUUAUCCGGAUUUACUGGGUGUAAUGGGCGUGUAGGCGGGGCUGCAAGUCAGAUGUGAAAACCACGGGCUCAACCUGUGGCCUGCAUUUGAAACUGUAGUGCUUGAGUACUGGAGAGGGAGAUAGAAUUCCUAGUGUAGCGGUGAAAUGCGUAGAGAUGAGGAGGAACACCAGUGGCGAAGGCGGUCUGCUGGACAGCAACUGACGCUGAGGCGCGAAAGCGUGGGGAGCAAACAGGAUUAGAUACCCCAGUAGUC
Molecule: ribosomal RNA, 443 nt
Filed under: uncultured bacterium
Lineage: Bacteria
Description: partial 16S ribosomal RNA
Rfam family: Bacterial small subunit ribosomal RNA
Source: RNAcentral